ACAGGUGGGUGAAGUUAAGUGGCUGCUGGAGCGUCUCGGGGGACAGCCAGUGUCUGCGGCGCCGAGAGGGCCGUUCGUGGACUCAAAUGGACAGGGUCUCUGUCACCCAGGCUAGAGUGCAGUGACUUGAUCAAGCUCACAGCAGCCUCCAUCUCCUGGGGUCCAGCAAUCCUCGCACCUCAGCCUCCUGAGUAGCUAGGACUACAGAUAAUCAAGCUAAGCACACAGGAUGACUGCCCAAGAAGCAAGUGACCGCAAUGGUGAAGCUGGGCCUCCACCCUGCCGUCUGGCUGACUUCAAGGCCUGCACAGCCUCUUAAGCCGCAUCCUGCUUGCUGCCUCCAAGCUUUCCUGACUGCAGCCUUUUCUCCAGUCACUUUUGAUAGAGGAGUUAAGAAGAAAUUACUUAGGCAGAUAGUGAGGGUAUGGAAGUCCUCGGUAAGGUUUUCCUUUUAAUGAAAAGCAGCCCCAAAUCAUUUUCCUUUCUAACAAACAGCAGCCUGUAAAAUCAAGCUGCAGACAUAGAUGCCGGCAGUUGUGCCAAUCAUGUUCAGAAUGGUGGCUCCCUUCUCCCUUCUCUGCCAGCCAUAUGUACAGUAAGGAGCAGACAACAUGGCUCGGGCCAAGGGUAAAGUUGAUUUGCAUAAUAAGAUUAGGGUGGGGCCCACCAGCCUUCCCCUGCACUAUGUAAACAUCACGCCUGACUGAACCAAUCUGUGAGCCCUAUGUAAAUCAGACAAUGCCUUCUCAAGCCUGACUAUAAAAUCCUGUGAGUCCACUGCCAGCCAGUCUUUCCUCUGGGAAGCCCCUCUCUCUCCCUAGAGAGAGCUGGUUUCCUUUCUCCUUUCUUUUUCUUUUGCAUAUUAAACUUCCACUCCUAAACUC
This is a long non-coding RNA of Homo sapiens (human), 884 nucleotides long. Lineage: Eukaryota; Metazoa; Chordata; Mammalia; Primates; Hominidae. The record is from Ensembl.